Molecule: ribosomal RNA, 471 nt
Filed under: uncultured organism
Description: partial 16S ribosomal RNA
Rfam family: Bacterial small subunit ribosomal RNA
Source: RNAcentral
ACACUCCUGCGGGAGGCAGCAGUGAGGAAUAUUGGACAAUGGGUGGAAGCCUGAUCCAGCCAUCCCGCGUGCAGGAAGACGGCCCUAUGGGUUGUAAACUGCUUUUAUCUGGGGAUAAACCUACUUACGUGUAAGUAGCUGAAGGUACCAGAAGAAUAAGCACCGGCUAACUCCGUGCCAGCAGCCGCGGUAAUACGGAGGGUGCAAGCGUUAUCCGGAUUUAUUGGGUUUAAAGGGUCCGUAGGCGGACUGAUAAGUCAGUGGUGAAAUCCGACAGCUUAACUGUCGAACUGCCAUUGGUACUGUGAGGCUUGAGGAAGGUUGAAGUGGCUGGAAUAAGGAGUGUAGCGGUGAAAUGCAUAGAUAUUACGUAGAACACCAAUUGCGAAGGCAGGUCACUAAGUCUUAACCGACGCUGAUGGACGAAAGCGGGGGGAGCGAACAGGAUUAGAAACCCCGGUAGUCCCAUGA